RNAcentral lists this ribosomal RNA (253 nucleotides) under uncultured bacterium. RNAcentral describes it as "partial 16S ribosomal RNA". It matches the Rfam family "Bacterial small subunit ribosomal RNA", at positions 524 to 776 of the family's 1533-position model. The record is from RNAcentral.
UACAGAGGUCUCAAGCGUUGUUCGGAUUCAUUGGGCGUAAAGGGUGCGUAGGUGGCUCUGUAAGUCGGGUGUGAAAUUUCGGAGCUUAACUCCGAAACUGCAUUCGAUACUGCGGUGCUUGAGGACUGGAGAGGAGACUGGAAUUCAUGGUGUAGCAGUGAAAUGCGUAGAGAUCGUAAGGAAGACCAGUGGCGAAGGCGGGUCUCUGGACAGUUCCUGACACUGAGGCACGAAGGCCAGGGGAGCAAACGGG